UACGUAGGGUGCGAGCGUUGUCCGGAAUUAUUGGGCGUAAAGAGCUCGUAGGCGGUUUGUCGCGUCUGCUGUGAAAACGCGAGGCUCAACCUCGCGCCUGCAGUGGGUACGGGGCAGACUAGAGUGCGGUAGGGGAGAUUGGAAUUCCUGGUGUAGCGGUGGAAUGCGCAGAUAUCAGGAGGAACACCGAUGGCGAAGGCAGAUCUCUGGGCCGUAACUGACGCUGAGGAGCGAAAGCGUGGGGAGCGAACAGG
RNAcentral lists this ribosomal RNA (254 nucleotides) under uncultured bacterium. Its description in RNAcentral is "partial 16S ribosomal RNA". It matches the Rfam family "Bacterial small subunit ribosomal RNA", at positions 524 to 776 of the family's 1533-position model. The record is from RNAcentral.